CUACGGGACGCUGCAGUAAGGAAUAUUGCGCAAUGGAGGCAACUCUGACGCAGCCAUGCCGCGUGCAGGAAGAUGGUCUUAUGGGUCGUAAACUGCUUUUAUUUAGGAAUAAACCCCCGAACGUGUUCGGGGCUGAAGGUACUAAACGAAUAAGCACCGGCUAACUCCGUGCCAGCAGCCGCGGUAAUACGGAGGGUGCAAGCGUUAUCCGGAUUUAUUGGGUUUAAAGGGUGCGCAGGCGGGCUAUUAAGUCAGUGGUGAAAUCCCGGGGCUCAACUCCGGAACUGCCAUUGAUACUGAUAGUCUUGAGUUUGGUUGAAGUGGGCGGAAUGUAGCAUGUAGCGGUGAAAUGCAUAGAUAUGCUACAGAACACCAAUCGCGAAGGCAGCUCACUAAGCCAAAACUGACGCUCAUGCACGAAAGCGUGGGGAUCAAACAGGAUUAGAUACCCCGGUAGUC
This 459-nucleotide ribosomal RNA is filed under the name uncultured bacterium. Its description in RNAcentral is "partial 16S ribosomal RNA". It matches the Rfam family "Bacterial small subunit ribosomal RNA", at positions 339 to 795 of the family's 1533-position model. The record is from RNAcentral.